RNAcentral lists this ribosomal RNA (876 nucleotides) under uncultured archaeon. Its description in RNAcentral is "bacterial SSU rRNA". It matches the Rfam family "Archaeal small subunit ribosomal RNA", at positions 22 to 903 of the family's 1478-position model. The record is from RNAcentral.
GGCUACUGCUAUUGGGAUUCCACUAAGCCAUGCGAGUCUAUGGACUUCGGUCCAUGGCGGACGGCUCAGUAACACGUGGCUAACCUACCCUCAGGUGGGGCAUAACCUCGGGAAACUGAGGAUAAUACCCCAUAGGAAAAGAGGUUUGGAAUAAUCCUUUUCUGAAAGGAUAUCCGCCUGAGGAUGGGGCUGCGUCCGAUUAGGUAGUUGGUGGGGUAAUGGCCCACCAAGCCUACGAUCGGUACGGGCCUUGAGAGAGGGAGCCCGGAGAUGGGGACUGAGACACGGCCCCAGGCCCUACGGGGCGCAGCAGGCGCGAAACCUCCACAAUGCACGAAAGUGCGAUGGGGGAAUCCCAAGUGCCUAUGCACAGCAUAGGCUUUUCCCAAGUCUAAACAACUUGGGGAAUAAGGGCUGGGCAAGUCCGGUGCCAGCAGCCGCGGUAACACCGGCGGCCCGAGUGGUGGCCACUCUUAUUGGGCCUAAAGCGUCCGUAGCCGGUUCAGUAAGUCUCUGUUUAAAUCCUACGGCUUAACCGUAGGGCUGGCAGAGAUACUGCUGGACUUGGGACCGGGAGAGGAAGAGGGUACUUCGGGGGUAGCGGUGAAAUGCGUUGAUCCCUGAGGGACCACCUAUGGCGAAGGCACUCUUCUGGAACGGGUCCGACGGUGAGGGACGAAAGCCAGGGGAGCGAACCGGAUUAGAUACCCGGGUAGUCCUGGCCGUAAACUUUGCGAACUAGGUGUCAUCUGGACCUCGGGUCCAGGUGGUGCCGAAGGGAAGCCAUUAAGUUCGCCGCCUGGGGAGUACGGUAGCAAGACUGAAACUUAAAGGAAUUGGCGGGGCCGCACAGGGAGCGGGUGGAGCCUGCGGUUU